AUGUACUCGCCUGGAGGUGAAGACGACGGUUUGUAUGGGGAACAUGGGUGUGAACAAGAUGAACCUGUAUCGGUUACAUCGAGGCUGUCAGUCAAGCAGGUUGUGACAGUGGUGCAAUCGUUCGGUGAGUACAAGAGGUGGCUGGUGUCGGAAAUAGGAUUUGGGGGUAUGCUAAAGCUGCCACUGAUAGCAAAAAUUGAUCUGAAAUUGAGCUUGUGGGUAAUGAGGAAAGUGGAGGUUGUGUCUCGUAUGAUUGUAAUUGAUAAGGAUCGGAAACUUCUAUUCACUCCAGAGGAUUUCCACAAGGUAUUUGGGGUGCCGUGCGGUAAUAGGGAUGUGCGUGGGAGGGAUGGAGACAUCAGCAUACGUUCUGUUGAGUUCAUCAAGGAUAUCAUUGGGAUGAACAGAUCUGCUGCUCACAGUCUGAAGGCUGCUGAAAUAUUUCUAUACAGGGACAUAAAUGAGAGCUCAACCAAAAUGGAGGACUGUUUCCAGAUUGCGUUUGUUAUUUUUGUGUUGGGAUAUGUGAUUGCUCCGUCCAUGAAGCAUGACUAUAUGACGAUUGAUUUUUGGGGUGCAGUUGCAAAUCCGGAACUAAUAGGCCAAUUUAAUUGGUGCCAGUAUGCGAUGGACAAGCUCAUGGGUGCAGUCAUCAAGCUCAAGCAUGAUGAUGAGGAAAGGGCAAUGACUAUUAAUUUAUUCGGAUGCCAUUUUUUCUUCCAAUCUCUGCGGGAGUUGAGCUUAUUGCUGAAUGAGCAGAAUGUGAGAUGCAGAUUGAAUGCAUCAGAGUUGCGGAACAAGAUGCAGGCUGAUAUGUUCAGCUUUGCCGACAGGCUUGUAUCGAUUGUCAAGGAGCACUGCAGGUGCUGCGCUAGGCGUGGACUAAAAAGAUGCAUCACACUUGUUGAACAGGGUGCGGCCAGUGAAGGUGUGCCAGGCAUGUUUAAGACGCCUAUGCGUCACGUCGGACGCCAGCUUGACUUAUCCGAUGAUGAUGACGGGGGUCGUAACUAUGAACCAAGGGAGAAGUCUCCUCGCGGCUCGAUUCGUAUUGGAUGUCAUGGUGCGCAAGAUUCCAUAGGGUGUGUGGGGAUGCAAGAGGAUGGAGAUGCAAAUGUUAUAUACAACAAUUCGGUUGCGGUGCAAAAUGUUGCAAGUGUUGACAAUGGAAUCGCCGAUAGAUUGACAGUGUACGCACAAACUGUGGCGGACAUGGUGCGAUGCAUGUAUUGUAGUUGUGCAUAG
RNAcentral lists this ribosomal RNA (1245 nucleotides) under Triticum aestivum (bread wheat). Its description in RNAcentral is "partial small subunit ribosomal RNA". The record is from RNAcentral. Lineage: Eukaryota; Viridiplantae; Streptophyta; Magnoliopsida; Poales; Poaceae.